This is a long non-coding RNA of Megalobrama amblycephala (Wuchang bream), 1469 nucleotides long. RefSeq lists it as uncharacterized. NCBI's taxonomy places the organism in Eukaryota, Metazoa, Chordata, Actinopteri, Cypriniformes, Xenocyprididae. The record is from RefSeq and is a predicted model, not a curated record. The transcript is spliced from 4 exons.
UGGUGUUGGGCCAGCGCCCCCAGCGGCUGCUCUCGUCGCGUUCGUAACCCAUUGUGACUUCUAGACUCGGCAGCACUCUGCACGCCAGGAGAGGAGCCAUGCUGGACAGACUGAGCCAAAGAGAGCCGGAUUCAGGUUCUUGACUAUUCCGUGGCCUCCAGGAAAGAUGACCGCAUCAAAGCUGUUGGCGUCCAGUUUGGACAGAUCGUUCAUCUGCAUCAUGCCCUGACCGUGGCUGAAUCGUGCAGACUCCAUCAUCAUGUUCCUGCCGAGAGGGAACGGUUUGCUAUCAGAUGGUCUCGCCAUGUGAAUGAUUACUAGAUUUCAAAGAAUACCAUGAUGUUUCCUUUAGGGCUGCAUCUUCAUGUGGUCCAUGACGUGCAUCUGCUGCUGGUUUGGAGCAAAGAUCUGAAAACGGGCUCCAUUACGGCUCAAGUGGUACAUGGUGCUUUAAAGAGAGACAGCAGUAUGUAUGCAUUACACCUCUCUAGAAUACUUGAUGCUGACUGGUCAAUAGGUCAAUAUUUUUUAUGCUCAGAAGCUGAACCUUACAUUUGACCAGGUAAAUAGUUACCACUUUGUUUCACACAUCACCAUUUCUUCUCACAAAAAUUGCUUAAAUCAAUAUUUCAUGUCCAUUUAUUUAUUUAUGUGGUAAGUAAGAAGAAGGAUGUGAAGUCAUUAUCUCUAAAUAAACCCCUUCUGGUUGAAGUCCUGAUGACCCUGUGAUAAUGACCAGGUGACUGUACAUUAUCCCUUACAUAAUAACCCUAACACAGAUCCAUACACUAUAAAGAUAUAAAUAGGUUUCAUUUGUUGACAUUAGUUAACUAAAACAUUUAAUAAUCUUAGUUAAUGUUAACUUAAGUGUUACUGUAAAUGUAGCUUGUUUUAAGGAUGUUUUAGGUAGACCAAAUGAAGUUUUGAAGUAUACUCACUAUGCAGCCUCAUGGAUGUCAGUCCCGUCCCACCAACCGCAGCCUGAGAAAACCUUCAAGAGCAGAUCCGGUCACAUUCAGAACCAAACAGAAACUCAAUACUGUGUCAGUUUACGUGCGUGUGGCAUUUUGUAUUCUUACCACAGCUAUGUUGGUGUUGCCCCAGUUCCCCCAGUCUCCCCCAUGAUGCACCAGGCAGGCAGGUUGGCGCACCAGCAUCGCUGCGGCCUGCUUGGCGAGGAAUGCCCGUGAUGCCAACAUGAUCACACUGCUGAGUUUACAACACAGAGAUCAACUGAAAGAGAGAGUCGUGCAAACUGAACUCAACGAGUCCAAUCCUGCUGCAGAGGAAGCCCAGCUCUUUUAUACGAAUGUUGCAUGUGGGACGUCACUCUGGUGAAAUGUGACCAGGAUAUUUCUUGCCAGUUUCCCUGAGCUUUACUCUGCAGAAUAAUCGUGCACCUGCUGUUGUCGCAGAGGCAGGCCGUUGCGAGAGAGAAAACUUCAGCAGACGAUUUGCUUUUAGAGGCG